RNAcentral lists this ribosomal RNA (492 nucleotides) under uncultured bacterium. RNAcentral describes it as "partial 16S ribosomal RNA". It matches the Rfam family "Bacterial small subunit ribosomal RNA", at positions 29 to 507 of the family's 1533-position model. The record is from RNAcentral.
AGUGAACGCUGGCGGUAGGCCUAACACAUGCAAGUCGAACGGCAGCACAGUAAGAGCUUGCUCUUACGGGUGGCGAGUGGCGGACGGGUGAGGAAUACAUCGGAAUCUACUUUUUCGUGGGGGAUAACGUAGGGAAACUUACGCUAAUACCGCAUACGACCUACGGGUGAAAGCAGGGGAUCUUCUGACCUUGCGCGAUUGAAUGAGCCGAUGUCGUAUUAGCUAGUUGGCGGGGUAAAGGCCCACCAAGGCGACGAUCCGUAGCUGGUCUGAGAGGAUGAUAGGCCACACUGGAACUGAAACACGGACAAGACUACUACGGGAGGCAGCAGUGGGGAAUGUUGGACAACGGGCGCAAGCCUGAUCCAGCCAUCCCGCGUGGGUGAAGAAGGCCUUCGGGUCGUAAAGCCCUUUUGUUGGGAAAGAAAAGCAGCCGGUUAAUACCCAGCUGUUCUGACGGUACCCAAAGAAUAAGCACCGGCUAACUUCGUG